Molecule: ribosomal RNA, 468 nt
Filed under: uncultured bacterium
Lineage: Bacteria
Description: partial 16S ribosomal RNA
Rfam family: Bacterial small subunit ribosomal RNA
Source: RNAcentral
GACGAACGCUGGCGGCGUGCUUAACACAUGCAAGUCGAACGGAAAGGCCCUGCUUUUGUGGGGUGCUCGAGUGGCGAACGGGUGAGUAACACGUGAGUAACCUGCCCUUGACUUUGGGAUAACUUCAGGAGACUGGGGCUAAUACCGGAUAGGAGCUCCUGCUGCAUGGUGGGGGUUGGAAAGUUUCGGCGGUUGGGGAUGGACUCGCGGCUUAUCAGCUUGUUGGUGGGGUAGUGGCUUACCAAGGCUUUGACGGGUAGCCGGCCUGAGAGGGUGACCGGCCACAUUGGGACCGAGAUACGGCCCAGACUCCUACGGGAGGCAGCAGUGGGGAAUAUUGCACAAUGGGCGGAAGCCUGAUGCAGCAACGCCGCGUGCGGGAUGACGGCCUUCGGGUUGUAAACCGCUUUCGCCUGUGACGAAGCGUGAGUGACGGUAAUGGGUAAAGAAGCACCGGCUAACUACGUG